UCUCAUAACUAGGCAGUAAAGAUACUUGAUUCAUGGCUUGCACAAUCCGCACAUAAGCUCAGGACUCCUGAGGUAAAAUGAUGUCCACAACUGUACCCACUCUUAUUAGUAUCCCAGAGAAGUCCUGAACUGGGAAAAAGGAAAGGAACAGAGGCAACCUUACAGGAAUAAGAAGGCCAGUGUUGAAAAGCUACAUUUCAAAAGAAGAUGAAGACAAGAAUGAAAACCAGGGAUAGCCUUUAUUUCUUCCCUGAACAUUUGGACAGCAUAGCUUUUCAGUUAUUUUCCCAGCCAGACAAAACAGUUAUGGUGAAUCUGGAACUGAGUUGCAGGAGGAGAGGGGGCUUUUUCCCCAGGAGGAAAUACAGUUAAUAGCCAGCAGGAAAUUGCAGAAUUGAUCUGCUCAGUGGAAAAUCUGGAUGGAGUUUGAAAAGCAGCAGCAAGACCUUUCAUCUUCACUAUGUUUCAUAAUUUCAGAAACCCUUAUCAUCUUACAGGAAUACCUAUUAGUGAAAAUAACUGUUCUAAAGUUUCCACAAAACAAUUCUUAGGUGGGAAAUGAGUGUUGUUCUGGGAUUAUGGAUGGCGCUAUAUCUCCAAACCCAGGGAAAGCUAAAGAGAAAAGCAUGUUUCAAAAAACAUUGUAGAAAGUCCUAUAAAGGUGAUGCUGUGCUUUGACUGACAAAGGAAAGUGUUCAAAAACAGAGGGUU
Molecule: non-coding RNA, 711 nt
Organism: Pseudonaja textilis
Lineage: Eukaryota; Metazoa; Chordata; Lepidosauria; Squamata; Elapidae
Source: RefSeq, a predicted model, not a curated record